CAUGGGCAGCUUUAGUCACUCACGUUCGUUUUGGUGGUCACAGAAAGACAAAUAAACAUUUUCAAUUUGUGUUUAGCGGAGAUCUUCUGUGUAUAAAGGGCAAAAAAAGCAUCUAACAACGUACUUAGCUAUUCUACGAGCUAUUCUACGAUCUAUUCUACGAGCUAUUCUACGAUCUAUUCUACGAGCUAUUCUACGAGUGGUCUGAGGCAGUUGUUAAAUAAAAAGCGUUUUCAAGAGCAACUUUAGUAACGAUCGUUUCGGGAAACAGCUCAGAGAUCUAACUAUGCUCCUACAAAAGUUCUAAGGAUGAACGUAAUGCAGGAACGGGUAUCAAGAGGUAUUGUUGUCUGGUUUGAACUGAAAGUUGUUGGGCCAUCGGGCCUCUACAGGUAAUGUAGCUGAAUGUUAGGCUGUAACAUUAUCUCUCUCCAGGUAAUGUAGCUGAAUGUUAGGCUGUAACAUUAUCUCUCCAGGUAAUGUAGCUGAAUGUUAGGCUGUAUCAUGAGCUCUCUCCAGGUAAUGUAGCUGAAUGUUAGGCUGUAACAUUAUCUCUCUCCAGGUAAUGUAGCUGAAUGUUAGGCUGUAACAUGAGCUCUCUCCAGGUAAUGUAGCUGAAUGUUAGGCUGUAACAUUAUCUCUCCAGGUAAUGUAGCUGAAUGUUAGGCUGUA
This 672-nucleotide long non-coding RNA is filed under the name Salmo salar (Atlantic salmon). RNAcentral describes it as "lncRNA (ENSSSAG00000102386.1)". Lineage: Eukaryota; Metazoa; Chordata; Actinopteri; Salmoniformes; Salmonidae. The record is from RNAcentral.